This 423-nucleotide ribosomal RNA is filed under the name uncultured bacterium. Its description in RNAcentral is "partial 16S ribosomal RNA". It matches the Rfam family "Bacterial small subunit ribosomal RNA", at positions 359 to 774 of the family's 1533-position model. The record is from RNAcentral.
GAAUUUUGGACAAUGGGGGCAACCCUGACCCAGCCAUCCCGCGUGUGCGAUGAAGGCCUUCGGUUUGUAAAGCACUUUUGGCAGGGAAGAAAAGGCUCUGGCUAAUACCUGUUGCUGCUGACGGUACCUGCAGAAUACGCACCGGCUAACUACUUGCCAGCAGCCGCGGGAAUACGUAGGGUGCAAGCGUUAAUCGGAAUUACUGGGCGUAAAGCGUGCGCAGGCGGUUUGGCAAGAAGGAUGUGAAAUCCCAGGGCUUAACCGUGGAACUGCAUUCUUAACUGCCAGGCUAGAGUAUGUCAGAGGGGGGUAGAAUUCCACGUGUAGCAGUGAAAUGCGUAGAGAUGUGGAGGAAUACCGAUGGCGAAGGCAGCCCCCUGGGAUAAUACUGACGCUCAUGCACGAAAGCGUGGGGAGCAAACA